This is a non-coding RNA of Pelobates cultripes (western spadefoot toad), 274 nucleotides long. The record is from the annotation of a GenBank genome assembly. NCBI's taxonomy places the organism in Eukaryota, Metazoa, Chordata, Amphibia, Anura, Pelobatidae.
CCCAGAUCGGACCAGGGGUUCGGGAAAUUUAUGGAAGUACUAAAAAGACCGACAGCGCUGGAGAGUACAGCCGAAUUUGGUUCCAUGCGAUGGGGCCCUAUGGUCGGUCCCAGUAUAAGGGAAUAAAUUACACGAAAGGCUAAGGCUACAGAGAUCAGGUAGGGUUCGCCUGAAUCCCCUCGUUCGGUUGUUUCUGUCUACCGAACGAGGGGCCGUUUGGUAGGUUGGAACCGAACGGACCGGGCUUGUGGAGGUCUCAGCGGUGUUUGCCUAG